RNAcentral lists this ribosomal RNA (200 nucleotides) under uncultured prokaryote. RNAcentral's name for it is "partial 16S ribosomal RNA". It matches the Rfam family "Bacterial small subunit ribosomal RNA", at positions 525 to 724 of the family's 1533-position model. The record is from RNAcentral.
ACGUAGGGGGCAAGCGUUGUCCGGAUUUACUGGGCGUAAAGCGCGUGUAGGCGGAAAUGCCAGUCCGGCCUGAAAGCCCUCGGCUCAACCGAGGAUCCGGGUCGGAAACUGCAUUUCUUGAGGGCGGCAGAGGUGUGUGGAACUCCUGGUGUAGCGGUGAAAUGCGUAGAGAUCAGGAGGAACACCCAUGGCGAAGGCAG